CUCAACCAAGGAAUGGCAUUCGAAACUGUUGAGAUUGAGGCCAGCAGAGGAGAGUGGAAUUCCCGGUGUAGAGGUGAAAUUUGUAGAUAUCGGGAAGAACACCGUUAGCGAAGGCUACUCUCUAGUCUGGCUCUGACGCUGAGGUGCGAAAGCCAGGGGAGCGAGCAGGAUUAGAUACCCUGGUAGUCCUGGCUGUAAACGAUGGGCACUAGAUAUUCUUGCGCUAAAGCAGGAGUGUCGCAGUUAACGCGUUAAGUGCCCCACCUGGGGACUACGGUCGCAAGGCUGAAACUCAAAGGAAUUGACGGGGGCCUGCACAAGCGGUGGAGCAUAUGGUUUAAUUCGAUGAUACGCGAGGAACCUUACCAAGGUUUGACAUGCCGAUGACUACCUGGGGAACCAGGAUUUCCUUCUGGGACAU
Molecule: ribosomal RNA, 421 nt
Filed under: uncultured bacterium
Lineage: Bacteria
Description: bacterial SSU rRNA
Rfam family: Bacterial small subunit ribosomal RNA
Source: RNAcentral